CCUUUCCCUUAGGGUUGGACUGGGUGGGUGUCUCAUAAAACACCACACCUCUCAUAGUUUUUACACUGACCCAGUAAGGGGGAAGGAGACCUGAGGGCUCUCAAUUCUCACACAAAGUGCCAAUCCUUAUGGGUGCAAGGAACCCACUCUGAGGAGUGUUAUGUGGGGAGAUUUACUGGGGCGGUACACCAGGCAAAUGGUAAUGCAUGUCUCCAAUGGGAGCUCAGGUAUGACAGAAUCCUCCAAUGGAAGAGAAGGGCAAAAGCUCACUUGAUCUUGAUUUUGCCUAGGAAUACAGACCAUGACAGAGGGUUUUCACAAUCCUUCUGAAUUUUUUGGGUUUUAAGCAGGAGGUGUCAGAA
Molecule: non-coding RNA, 362 nt
Filed under: Rattus norvegicus (Norway rat)
Lineage: Eukaryota; Metazoa; Chordata; Mammalia; Rodentia; Muridae
Description: Eukaryotic large subunit ribosomal RNA
Rfam family: Eukaryotic large subunit ribosomal RNA
Source: Rfam by way of RNAcentral